This is a long non-coding RNA of Cucumis melo (muskmelon), 1150 nucleotides long. RefSeq lists it as uncharacterized. The record is from RefSeq and is a predicted model, not a curated record. NCBI's taxonomy places the organism in Eukaryota, Viridiplantae, Streptophyta, Magnoliopsida, Cucurbitales, Cucurbitaceae. The transcript is spliced from 8 exons.
AUUUGGGGUUUUUUGCUUUGGGGUUGUCGACGAAAAGAAUGCUGUGAGCAUCAAACAUGUUUGUUAAUUUUCAGAUUCUUUUCAUGGGUUGUCUUGGUCCAUGGACGAGAGAUCGUUGAAAGAUGCGUUUUCUUCCUUUGGGGAGGUUACUGAAGGUAAUCGUGCAUGUUGAGCUUAACCCUUUGAUUUACCAGUUGUAGUCUACGUGUUCGACGAAAUGUCUAGUUGAUUUCAGACCUCAGUUCAUCACGUGUGCUUCUGGGUCGAAACAUUUUGCUUCCUUGACUUUCAUAAUUCCAAGAAACAAAGAAAGAAAACCCCCUCCAAAAUGGCUGCUGCACAUCAGUUCCCUAAGACCUCCAUGUACCUUGAUCAAAACCCCGAAGCCGCCCUCAAGAACUUCGACGACGAUGGUCGAGAGAAACGAACGGGGACAUCAGUGAUAUGUUAGUUUGGAGCUUAGUGCGCAUAUAAUAAUAGCAGUGAUAGGGUCGGGGGUUCUAUCGUUGGCGUGGGCGAUAGCGCAGCUCGGUUGGGUGGCUGGACCGGCUGUGUUGGUGGCCUUCUCUAUGAUUACAUAUUUAACAGCAACUCUUUUGGCUGACUGUUAUAGAUCUCCAGAUCCUGUUACUGGGAAAAGAAACUACACCUAUAUGGAUGUUGUCAAGGCUCACUUGGGUUGAAGUUACGAUUGUUGAUGUUUCUACCAGUCAUCAGAUUGGGAUCGACAGUUGGGGGGAAGGCAAUGGAAUCUCUGGUCAAAGAGGGAUUUAUACAGGGAGUCUUGGACAUCACCACCACAGAGGUCGCAGACUACUUAAUUGGAGGUGUCAUGACUUGAAGUGGAUAUUUUUAUGGUUCUCUUCCCUUGAACAAUAUUUUAAAUCUCUAUGUUUCUCUCAUCUCACAGGGUUCUCCUUUUUGCAAACUUGUUCGUGAAGUGCUUGUAGAGUUGGAGUUACCACAUUUAGUACGUUGGGAGUUAUCACUAAACAAAUGACUGCAAUAGAAGAAAUGGUUGCAAGUGAGUACAAUUAGCCAGACCCUCAUCUUUGUGACAAGAUCUUGAAGUUGGUCAUUUGUGAAGCGUUCUACUUUGCUAUUAGUUGCAGUUUUAGUUAUUGCUCUCUUAAUAUAUUCUUUUUCUUUC